This 1279-nucleotide ribosomal RNA is filed under the name Choeras sp. SNS-2016. RNAcentral describes it as "16S ribosomal RNA". Lineage: Eukaryota; Metazoa; Arthropoda; Insecta; Hymenoptera; Braconidae. The record is from RNAcentral.
UUAAAAUAAUUAAUUUUUAUUAAAUAUAUUUUUAAUAAAUUUUAAUUUAAAUAAAUAAUUAAAAAUUAUAGUUAAUUUAAUAAUUUAAUUUUAAAAAAAUUAUAAAAUAAAUUUAAUUAUUAAUUAAAAUUUAAGAAAAAUUAUUUUUUUUUCCUUUUGUAUCAGGAUUAAUUAAAAAAUUAUUUAAAUUUUAAAUUUCUCGAAUUAAAAAAAUUUAAAUUUUUAUAUUUAAUUAUAUUUAAUUAUUAUAUAAAAUAAAAAUUUAGAAACUAUAAAUUAACCAAUUUUUAAAAUAUCUAGUUAUUUAGAAAAUAAAUUAAAUUUAUUUUUAAUUUUAAAUAAUUUUUUUAUAUAAAAAUUUAUAAAAAUUAAAAAAAUAAUUUAAGGGAUAAACUUUAAAUUAAAUUUAUAAAUUUAAUAAAUUAAUUUUAUAAUUUAAAAAUAAAAUUAUUUUUUAUUAAAAAAUAUAUAAUAAUUUUAUAAAAUCUUUUAAAAAUUUAUUUAAAAUUUAAAUAAAUUACUAAAUUAAAAAAUAUAAUUUUUAAAUUUUUAAAAUAAUGAUUAAAUUAGUAAUAUAAAAUUUAAUUUUAUAAAAUAAAAAUUUAUAAUUAAAUUUAAUUAACUAAGCAAAUUUUAUAUUCACCUGUUUAACAAAAACAUGUCUUAUUGAUUAUUAAUUUUAAGUCAAAUCUGCUCAAUGAAUUUAUUUUAAAUAGCUGCAGUAUUUUUAACUGUACAAAGGUAGCAUAAUAAUUAGUUUUUUUAUUGAAAACUAGAAUGAAUGAUUAAAUGAAAUAUAAACUGUAUCAAAUUUAUUAAAUAAAUUUUUUAUUUAAAUAAAAAAAUUUAAAUUGAUAUUAAAGACAAGAAGACCCUAAAGAAUUUUUAUAAUUUUUUUUUAAUAUUUAAAUUAAUUAAAAAUUAUUUUAAUUGGGGAAAUUUUAAAAUUUAUUAAAUUUUUAAUUAAAUUAAACAAUUUUAUUUUUGUAUAAAUAAUAUUUUAUAAAAAAAAAAAUUAAAUUACCUUAGGGAUAACAGCAUAAUUUUUUUAAAAAGUACUAAUUUAUAAAAAAGUUUAUGACCUCGAUGUUGAAUUAAAAUUAAUUUAAUAGAAAAAUAUUAAAAAUUUAAGUCUGUUCGACUUUUAAAAUUUUACAUGAUUUGAGUUAAGAUCGGUGUAAACCAGAUCGGAUUCUAUCUUAAUAUAAAAUAAAUAUUUUUGUACGAAAGGAAUUUAUAUUUUAAAUAAUUUUUAUUAAAUAAUUAAAAAUAAAUUUUU